CUAUCAGAUUUCUUCGUACAUCUCAUCACUUAAUAGCACACCUCUCCUAAACAAGUCUCAUGGUGUAUCAUUCAUAUCCGUUUCACAAAUGGUGGAAGGUGAAUUGCACACCAAAGUUUAAUACUUACGGUUAGGAGUUUGUUUAAAUCUCUAACUCUGACCUUCAGAGAGGGAAACACUCUACUCUAGCAGAGAGCAGAAAUGCUUGGCAUACAGCAGACAAAAGGGUGGGACUGGCAGGAAAAGCAGCGAUGAGUAAAGCUCAUGUUCUCCUUUAUGAGCCCCUCAUCUAACGGCCGCAUUUGAUUACAGUAAGGCUCAGAGUUGAGGAACUUUUUACAGGAUUACUGCCAGUUUCCUCCAGCACACACACACACGCACGCACACACAGAGGCAUUCACUGCUGGAUGCUGGACCGUCUCUGUGAAACCGGAGUGGGGUGAAGCUUUAAUGAGCGGUAUGAGGGGAUGAUGUUGAAGACUGGCCGAGUCAGUCAGGGGAAACAGUGGGGAGUCUCCUUCGGAUCGUACAAUCCACUCUCGUUUGCCUCUGUUAUGCAGUCCAUUAUGUUUUGAUCCCAGUGAAGCCUGAAGAGGCAAUAAAAAGCCUAAUAACUGCACUAGACUCCACGGCUAUCCUCUUGGCAGAGAUUGCUGGAUAUUUCAGAAGAGCAAGGAGGAACAUUAAGACUGGAGAAUUACAGUUCUUCUUUGGAGUUUGUGAGGCUUUUGGACUCACAUCUCACCAGACUGCACUUUACUUUGCAAGAAUUAGAUGCAAUCUGUUUGAUUCAUCCUUGUUUUAUGUGGCACCAACCCUUCACACUUCCUUUCCCACAUAUAGUAAAGCAAAGUACUUAAACUAGAGAUAUGAGAAAUAUCAGAUAGAGGAAAAUGCCAAAUGGAGAUGGAAAUGGUUUUUAUAAAACAUCUUUAAAAAAUUUCACGAUUACACUAGACUAAUGAUUUCUUAAAAUUACGUAAUCAUGUCCACUCUACUUUGGUGGCAAGUAAUGAGGGGUUACAUACUAAACUGUGAAAGCUGAUCAGCUCACAUGGCUCCGGUUCAAAAUGCCAAACCACUUAUUACAAAUUAGUCAUGUUUUUGCGGACAUGUACCAUGGUAAUACUGUGGUAUUCUUUGGAGUACCUCAAAAUACCAUGUAAAUACAAUUAUUUAUAUGUUAAAUAAUUAUUUAUAUAUUAUAUGAUGUAAGUAAGAUGUUACCACCAUCAAAUAACAUCACUAUACCCUGG
This is a long non-coding RNA of Ctenopharyngodon idella (grass carp), 1256 nucleotides long. RefSeq lists it as uncharacterized. The transcript has 2 exons. The record is from RefSeq and is a predicted model, not a curated record. Lineage: Eukaryota; Metazoa; Chordata; Actinopteri; Cypriniformes; Xenocyprididae.